AUGAACGGAGCUGAGAAGUUGAACCAUGGCCGAACGGCCUACCACUUCCAGCCUGCCAAGUACUGGCAAAAUGAUCCCAAUGGGCCAAUGUACCACAACGGCAUGUACCACUUCUUCUACCAGUACAACCCUCGCGGCCCGACCUGGGGCGACGGCAAGCUAUCAUGGGGCCACUCCGUCUCCGGCGAUCUCGUGAACUGGGCCGACGUUGGCAAUGCGUUGGACCCUACCUCCCCGUUCGACGUCAACGGCUGCUGGUCGGGCUCCGCCACCGUCCUCCCCGGCGGCCGCCCGGCGAUCCUCUACACCGGCAUGGACGACGCCGACAAGGCGCAGGUGCAGAACGUGGCCUUCGCCAAGAACCCCUCCGACCCGCUCCUCCGCGAGUGGGAGAAGCCCAGCUGCAACCCGGUCAUCCCGAUGCCGGCGGACGUCACCGGCAACAACUUCCGCGAUCCCACGGAGGCGUGGCGUGGCCGCGACGGCCUAUGGAGGGUCGCCGUCGCCGCCGAGGUCCGCGGUGUCGGCUCCUUGCUCGUGUACAGGAGCGCGGACUUCCUCCAUUGGGAGCGCAACGCUGGCGCGCCUCUGCAUGCCGCCAGCUCGCGCGACGGGGACGGCCCCGCCGUGCUGGAGUGCCCGGACCUGUUCCCGAUGGCGGCACCCGGCGCGAUGGAGGGGCUCGACGUGUCGGCGAGCCGCGCCGGGGUGCUGCACGUGCUCAAGCUCAGCGACUUCGCCAAGGAGGACCACUACAUGGUCGGGCGGUACGACGACGAGGAGGACACCUUCAAGCCGGCAGAGCCCGAGCGCGGCGGCGACUGCGCCAACUGGCGCCGGCUCGACCACGGCCACCUGUACGCGUCCAAGUCCUUCUACGACGCCCGCAAGAAGCGGCGUGUGCUGUGGGCAUGGGUGGACGAGACCGACGGCGGCGGCGAAGGCAGAGGGUGGGCCGGCAUCCAGGCGUUCCCGAGGGCGAUGUGGCUGGACACCGACGGGAAGCGGCUGGUGCAGUGGCCAGUCGAAGAGAUCGAGACGCUGAGGAGGAAGCGGGUCGGCCUGCAGUGGGCGACGGAGGUGGACGCCGGCGGCACGAAGGAGAUCGCCGGCAUCGUCAGCUUGCAGGCGGACGUGCAGGCGGUCUUCGAGGUCCCGAACCUGGAGGAUGCCGAGACGUUGGACCCGAAGUGGCUGCAGGAUCCCAAGGGGCUGUGCGCCGAGAAGGGCGCGUCCGUGCCGGGCGGAGUCGGCCCGUUCGGGCUCCUCGUCAUGGCUUCCGGCGACCUGAGGGAGCACACCGCGAUCUUCUUCAGGGUGUUCAAGCACCUUGACACGUACAAGGUUCUCAUGUGCACCGACCUCACAAAGUCAUCUACGAAAGCAGAAGGGGUAAAAAUCCCAUCCUACGGGGCAUUUCUGGACGUGGACGUGGAGAAGGACAAGAGCCUGUCGCUCAGAACACUGAUCGAUCACACGGUGGUGGAGAGCUUCGGCGACGGCGGGAGGACGUGCAUGACGGCUCGCAUGUACCCAGAGCACGCGGCGACGAGCCGCAGCCGGCUGUACGCGUUCAACUAUGGCGCCGGCGCCGUGAAGGUGUCCAAGCUGGAGGCGUGGGAGUUGGCAACGGCGGCCGUGAACGGUGGCGGCGUUAUAUAG
Molecule: ribosomal RNA, 1662 nt
Filed under: Triticum aestivum (bread wheat)
Lineage: Eukaryota; Viridiplantae; Streptophyta; Magnoliopsida; Poales; Poaceae
Description: partial small subunit ribosomal RNA
Source: RNAcentral